This 861-nucleotide long non-coding RNA is filed under the name Callithrix jacchus (white-tufted-ear marmoset). RNAcentral describes it as "lncRNA (ENSCJAG00000082667.1)". Lineage: Eukaryota; Metazoa; Chordata; Mammalia; Primates; Cebidae. The record is from RNAcentral.
UUACCUUUGAGUUUAGAAUCAAUGUUCAAAAACAGAAUUUAGGUUAAUUCUUUACCCCUAAAGUAUAAGAGUCAAUUUCAUUCAUAAGAAACAGAGCUUCUACAGCUCCCCAAGAGCUCCAAGUCCUGGGGUGCCUCUCCCUUGUCCCAACUCAAACCCUCCUUCCAGAGGUAAAGACUACCCUGAAAUUUUUGAUAAUCAUAUUUUUUUUCUUUGUGGUUUGUUACCCAUACCUAAAUAAUGUGGCAGCUUUGUCUAUUUUGAACCUUAUUUAAAUUGAACUGUAGUUAAAAUUCCUUGUCUUGCUUCUCUCAUUCAUCAUUACAUGUGAGAAUCAUCUAUAAUGUUAAUCAUGGCUAUGAUUUGGUCAUGAUCAUUACUGCGGAUAUACUGUUUUGUGAAUAGACAACAGUUAUUUAUACAUUCUAUUCUUUCUGGUUAUUUAGUUUUUUUUUUCAAUUUUAGAUAUGACAAAGAAUUCUGCAAUAUGUACUCCUCCUGCUCAUGGGUCCUGGGAGAUAUGUGCAUGAGUUUCUCUAGGAUACAAAAGAAGUUCACCACUAGCAGCCAACUGAUGGCCACAAAGAAAUGAGACUGAGGAUGAAACUAACGUUAAGGAGGACACCAGUGAAACUGUAACCUUCCAGUUAUGUGAGCCAGCAAAUCCCAUUUCGGUUCAAGGAAGGUUGACUUGGUUUUUGUUUCUUUGUUCAUUAUUUUUAUUAUUUGUAACUAAAAAUUACUAAUAAGGUUGCAAUGGGUAAUAACAAACUCAGCUGUUGGAGAUGCAAAUUGGAAGUAAUCUUUCCAGGAGCAAUUAGCUACACACACACACACACACACACACACACACACACACAC